GCCUAGGCUCUCCAUUCCCCCUCCCAUGACAUCACAAACAAUUGCCACUCUAGGACGCCGCAUUCGCUCUCCUUAACGGUCCAGGCAUUCCACAGUUAUGCUGGAACACACAGACAUAGACACAGACACACCCCAUGGGUGUCUUACUCCAACAGUAUUUGUUUCCAGAUAGUAAGUCAUCUGAUAGGACAAAAGUCAAUAGAAAACAGGAGAAGUGUCUUCUUAUCAACAUCUUCAGUUAUAGGACCAUCUCUUGACAAAUCCCAAGAUGACUGCAGCUUAUGAGCUUCUCCGGCCAUAAAAAAGUCCAAGAAAUCUCCACACCUAACAAGCUUGAGAUUCUUACAAUGGAAAAUAAACUUCUGAAAGACAAAAACUGGAAUUCUUCCAACUUUCCUCUGACUUAAUUGGGUACUCCAAAAUACAACAAAUAAGAAGCAUAUAAA
Molecule: non-coding RNA, 446 nt
Organism: Pantherophis guttatus
Lineage: Eukaryota; Metazoa; Chordata; Lepidosauria; Squamata; Colubridae
Source: RefSeq, a predicted model, not a curated record